GCUGCUAAAAAUGAAAAUGAAAUCAUUAUUGGAAAUUUUGUUUAGGGAUUAGGGAUUACUUGUUGCUGUUUGUAAUGUUUGUUGAAAUUUCAGGUUUAGUGUGAUUAGGGAUUACUUGUUGCUGUUUGGUACUUGCUGCUGCUGUUUUAGUGUUUUUUAACUUUUGAAUCACUUGUUUUUGAAUUUUUGUUGAUAGAUUUAUCAAUUUUAGUAUUUAGGGUGAUUAUUUGUUGCUGUAUUUUAAUUUUAGUUGCUGAUUGUUCUUGAUUUCUAGCUCUUUUUAGUAUAUUGUGCUGAUUGUUCUUGAUUUCUGGCUGUGUGAAUGUUCUGAUUUCUGGCUCUCUGAGUGUUGUUUUAUUUUUGUUUUAAGGCCCUAUUUUGUGCUCAGUUUUCAUUUUGUAGGAAAUUGUUUGAGGUAUUAAGAAUUAAGAAGGAAGAUUAUCCCAACAGCUACUCUAUUGAUUGAUUCUAGUCCCCCACAAGCUUGAAGAGAGGAACCCUUCAUCAUUGUUUGUAGGAAUUCAGA
Arachis ipaensis is the source of this 526-nucleotide non-coding RNA. NCBI's taxonomy places the organism in Eukaryota, Viridiplantae, Streptophyta, Magnoliopsida, Fabales, Fabaceae. The record is from RefSeq and is a predicted model, not a curated record.